CCUACGGGUGGCAGCAGUGGGGAAUAUUGCACAAUGGGGGAAACCCUGAUGCAGCGACGCCGCGUGAAGGAAGAAGGAUUUCGGUAUGUAAAUUUCUAUCAGCAGGGAAGAAAAUGACGGUACCUGACUAAGAAGCCCCGGCUAACUACGGGCCAGCAGCCGCGGUAAUACGUAGGGGGCAAGCGUUAUCCGGAUUUACUGGGUGUAAAGGGGGCGCAGACGGCAGCGCAAGCCAGGAGUGAAAGCCCGGGGCCCAACCCCGGGACGGCUCUUGGAACGGCGCGGCUGGAGUGCGGGAGGGGCAGGCGGAAUUCCUGGUGUAGCGGUGAAAUGCGUAGAUAUCAGGAGGAACACCGGUGGCGAAGGCGGCCUGCUGGACUGCGACUGACGUUGAGGCCCGAAAGCGUGGGGAGCAAACAGGAUUAGAUACCCCAGUAGUC
This 440-nucleotide ribosomal RNA is filed under the name uncultured bacterium. Its description in RNAcentral is "partial 16S ribosomal RNA". It matches the Rfam family "Bacterial small subunit ribosomal RNA", at positions 338 to 795 of the family's 1533-position model. The record is from RNAcentral.